UAAAACAUAUUUUGAAACAGUUACACACCUUUUCUGCUGUGACUUCAUUGAAAAUCCAAAAAUCUUAUUUUUUCAAAAUUAUCUCGAGAACUAUGUGUUACGACUAUAAGCAGGAUCUGAAGGGGGCCUGUCGUUGUUAUCCCCAGUUGUGUGGGCGGUCGCAUCAAUGAUUACAAAAUUCACAGUAUGACAGUUUUUCGUGUCGCAAAUUGGACAUUAACAAUUAUCUCAGCGUUGAUCCAAAGUUUACUCCUGCAUGACAAUCAAUCCAUCAAUCAAUAUGUAUAUUCAAACAGCUAUUCGAACUGUUCGCAAUCUAUUUUAUUGUCAAGCUGCUUCAGUCGCACUGUGUCCUGGGCGGCGAGUAUAGUGUCUCAAUAUGGUUCCUCAUAUAUUUUUUACCAGGCAUUACCCUACAUACGAUAUUUUUGGCAAUAUAUCGAAUAUUCUGUAGCAGUCUGGGCCUGGACCCAAUUGUGCUCCAUAAUAUUCAACUUGACCUGCGGAACUUUGCUGUUAAUUGCUGCUAGCAUAUUGCUCUACGCUAUGAAGGAUCACUGUGGCAGUGCAACGGCAAAUUAUUUCUAUAUAGCAGGUGUUUUUGGAUUAUUGGCGGGUGUUUGCCAUAUAUGUAACGGCAUUAUGUGCCUAUUUUUUAUACCACUAUUCGAAUUAAAAUUGGCAAAGUGAAGAGCAGAAAAUUGAUAAUCAUGUGCCGAGUAGAACGCUUCUAGCUUGUGAAAAUGGAAUGUGAUACGUAUGACUUGAAGAUAUGACGGCGACAGGGCGCGCAUAUGUAUAUAUCUGGAAUGGCAAGAGAUUAGCUUGUAGAGCUAAGACGCUGAGACGAGAUAAUCCCAUCUGCCCAUCAAGUUCAGGACUCAAAAUUAAAAGCAUUUUCCAAUGAGGUGUUGAAUGUGCACGUAAAGCUUUGCCAGCAACUUGUCUUUGAUCAAAGAAAAACUUUUGGUUUCAUUCCAUAUUUGCUUCACUUAAACUG
This 1000-nucleotide unclassified non-coding RNA is filed under the name Drosophila mojavensis. RNAcentral's name for it is "GI16937". The record is from RNAcentral. Lineage: Eukaryota; Metazoa; Arthropoda; Insecta; Diptera; Drosophilidae.